RNAcentral lists this transfer RNA (73 nucleotides) under Patescibacteria group bacterium. RNAcentral's name for it is "tRNA-Gly". It matches the Rfam family "tRNA". From Rfam's summary of the family: Transfer RNA (tRNA) molecules are approximately 80 nucleotides in length. Their secondary structure includes four short double-helical elements and three loops (D, anti-codon, and T loops). Further hydrogen bonds mediate the characteristic L-shaped molecular structure. tRNAs have two regions of fundamental functional importance: the anti-codon, which is responsible for specific mRNA codon recognition, and the 3' end, to which the tRNAs corresponding amino acid is attached (by aminoacyl-tRNA synthetases). tRNAs cope with the degeneracy of the genetic code in two manners: having more than one tRNA (with a specific anti-codon) for a particular amino acid; and 'wobble' base-pairing, i.e. permitting non-standard base-pairing at the 3rd anti-codon position. The record is from RNAcentral.
GCGGGUGUAGCUCAGUUGGCAGAGCAUCGCCUUCCCAAGGCGAAUGUCGUCGGUUCGAUCCCGAUCACCCGCU